Juglans microcarpa x Juglans regia is the source of this 1094-nucleotide RNA transcript. It is a transcript of the gene named protein TIC 20-II, chloroplastic, with no coding region annotated. The record is from RefSeq and is a predicted model, not a curated record. NCBI's taxonomy places the organism in Eukaryota, Viridiplantae, Streptophyta, Magnoliopsida, Fagales, Juglandaceae. The transcript is spliced from 3 exons.
UCCGAUUUUCAUGUCCGCAGCCCACCAUACCCAGUCGGUUCCUUGCGUUAUAAAAUCGCGAGAGUGAAGAAUCCUCUCUCACUCCAGAAGAACAUGGCCGCCAUUCCUCUCCUCCGCCUCUCAGCCACAGCUAAUCUCAGCUCCCGGUCACCUCUCUUACCUGAUCCCUUCAAACUCAAACGGUUGCCACCACGAAAAUGGAGCACCACCGCAACCACAACCACAACCACAACCACCAUCACCCGCAUGUCCUACAACCCAACCCCAGCCACUGAUCGGUUAAUCUCAGCCGUGGCUUACACUCUCCCCCUUUUCAAUUCCCUCCAGUAUGGUCGUUUCCUCUUCCUCCAAUACCCAACUCUGGGCUCCCUCUUUGACCCUCUCCUCCCUCUCCUCUCCCUCUAUAGGUCCAUCCCCUACUCCUCCUUUGUUGCCUUCUUUGCUCUGUACCUCGGCGUGGUCAGGAACCCGUCUUUUAGCCGCUACGUCAGGUUCAACUCCAUGCAGGCCGUCACUUUGGACGUGCUCCUCGUGCUUCCCUUGUUGCUCCAAAGGGUCUUCAGCCCGGGCAGGACCGGGCUCGGCUUCAAGGUCACGGUCUGGUUCUAUAACGUGCUGUUUGUGUUCAGUGUAUUGUGUUUUCUUUAUAGUGUGGUGUGUUGUGUUCUCGGCAAGACUCCCUACUUGCCAUUCGUUGCCGAUGCUGCCGGUAGACAGAUCUAGGUCCUGUGAACGAGUGGAACAAAAUGUUGACCAUUUCUCCGAACAGUUGGUGUGCGUCUUAUCAAACUUGUUAUCUGCGUUAUAUUUAUAUUAGGUUGUGGGUUUUCGUAUUGGGUACAAGUGCUGAGGCGGCAUUGGUUAGUAGCAAGGAAGUUUGCUUUGGGAAGUUACUGUCGCUGGAUGAUGUGUGAUAUAAGUUGACUAUAUACACCUUUUAAACCAUAUAUGUGCUUAAUUUCAAAGUUGAUUGAGCAAUUUCUAGUUGAGUAUGGAUGAUUCUUGGCCAUGAAUUUAUUAAUAACUUGGGACCUGAUUGCAGUCUCUUGGAACGAAAAAAUCCUUUUGAAUUCCAAGGUCAAAUGUAUGAUUCA